CCUACGGGAGGCAGCAGUGAGGAAUAUUGGUCAAUGGACGAGAGUCUGAACCAGCCAAGUAGCGUGAAGGAUGACUGCCCUAUGGGUUGUAAACUUCUUUUAUAAAGGAAUAAAACGAGGCACGUGUGCCUUUUUGCAUGUACUUUAUGAAUAAGGAUCGGCUAACUCCGUGCCAGCAGCCGCGGUAAUACGGAGGAUCCGAGCGUUAUCCGGAUUUAUUGGGUUUAAAGGGAGCGUAGAUGGGUUGGUAAGUCAGUUGUGAAAGGUUGCGGCUCAACCGUAAAAUUGCAAUUGAUACUGGCAGUCUUGAGUACAGUUGAGGUAGGCGGAAUUCGUGGUGUAGCGGUGAAAUGCUUAGAUAUCACGAAGAACCCCGAUUGCGAAGGCAGCUUACUAAACUGUGACUGACAUUGAUGCUCGAAAGUGUGGGUAUCAAACAGGAUUAGAUACCCCAGUAGUC
RNAcentral lists this ribosomal RNA (460 nucleotides) under uncultured bacterium. RNAcentral's name for it is "partial 16S ribosomal RNA". It matches the Rfam family "Bacterial small subunit ribosomal RNA", at positions 338 to 795 of the family's 1533-position model. The record is from RNAcentral.